RNAcentral lists this ribosomal RNA (310 nucleotides) under Clostridioides difficile. RNAcentral describes it as "bacterial SSU rRNA". It matches the Rfam family "Bacterial small subunit ribosomal RNA", at positions 527 to 841 of the family's 1533-position model. The record is from RNAcentral. Lineage: Bacteria; Bacillati; Bacillota; Clostridia; Peptostreptococcales; Peptostreptococcaceae.
GUAGGGUGCUUGGUGUAUCAGGCGUGACUGUGGGGUAAGGAGGCGGAGGCGCACUUGAAAGUCGAGAGGGAAAGGCUACGGAGCAACGGUAUUAAGAUCGUGAAACUGGGGGACUUGAGUGCAGGAGAGGAGAGUGGACUUCCUAGUGUAGCGGUGAAAGUCGUAGAUUUUAGGAGGAACACCAGUGGCGAAGGCGGCUCUCUGGACUGUAACUGACGCUGAGGCACGAAAGCGUGGGGAGCAAACAGGAUUAGAUACCCUGGUAGUCCACGCUGUAAACGAUGAGUACUAGGUGUCGGGGGUUACCCCC